UACCCGCUGAACUUAAGCAUAUCACUAAGCGGAGGAAAAGAAACUAACAAGGAUUCCCCUAGUAACUGCGAGUGAAGCGGGAAGAGCUCAAAUUUAAAAUCUGGCGGCCUCCGGCUGUCCGAGUUGUAGUCUGGAGAAGCGUUUUCCGUGUUGGACCGUGUAUAAGUCUCUUGGAACAGGGCGUCAUAGAGGGUGAGAAUCCCGUCUUUGACACGGACUACCAAUGCUUUGUGAUGCGCUCUCAAAGAGUCGAGUUGUUUGGGAAUGCAGCUCAAAAUGGGUGGUAAAUUCCAUCUAAAGCUAAAUAUAGGCGAGAGACCGAUAGCGAACAAGUACCGUGAGGGAAAGAUGAAAAGCACUUUGGAAAGAGAGUUAAACAGUACGUGAAAUUGCUGAAAGGGAAACGCUUGAAGUCAGUCACGUCUGCCAGGACUCAGCCUCGCUUCUGCUUGGUGCACUUUCUGGUUUGAUGGGCCAACAUCAAUUUUGACCGUUGGAGAAAGGCUUUGGGAAUGUGGCACCUUUGGGUGUGUUAUAGCCCUUUGUCGUAUGCAACGGUUGGGAUUGAGGACUGCAGCACGCCUUCAUGGCCGGGGUUCGCCCACGUACGUGCUUAAGAUGUUGGCAUAAUGGCUUUAAGCGACCCGUCUUGAAACACGGACCAAGGAGUCUAACAUGCCUGCGAGUGUUUGGGUGGAAAACCCAUGCGCGUAAUGAAAGUGAUAGCUGAGAUCCUCUCAUCAGGAGCAUCAGCGCCUGGACUUGAUCU
RNAcentral lists this ribosomal RNA (769 nucleotides) under Thelephora globosa. Its description in RNAcentral is "Tomentella globosa partial large subunit ribosomal RNA". It matches the Rfam family "Eukaryotic large subunit ribosomal RNA", at positions 22 to 777 of the family's 3401-position model. The record is from RNAcentral. Lineage: Eukaryota; Fungi; Basidiomycota; Agaricomycetes; Thelephorales; Thelephoraceae.